This 1031-nucleotide long non-coding RNA is filed under the name Brassica napus (rape). Its description in RNAcentral is "long non-coding RNA (BNAP_LNC015892)". Lineage: Eukaryota; Viridiplantae; Streptophyta; Magnoliopsida; Brassicales; Brassicaceae. The record is from RNAcentral.
CAUGAUGGAGGAGAGUUCGGAUGACGAAUAUAGCGAUGAAUCCAAGAACCUUCAAAGCCUCUUCAGGCUUGUCUAGGUUAAGGUACCAUUUGUCUCCGCAUACGUUUUUGGUUGCAGUUGUAUUCAUCUUCUCUCUAUGUUAUCUUAUUUGUUGUUCCUAUAGUAUUGCUGGAUUUAGAUGGAUUAAUUGUUUCUUGGGGAGGAAGAAAGCUUUUUGAUUUGUUGCUUUUUUUCUUCUUGUCUUUUGAUUUAGGGCCUUGAGAAUGGGAGGAAGUGAUUGUUUGUACUCAGAAAUUGGCGGAGACGCUUGUGGAUUCCUUCAUUCACAUUCCUUCUCUCUCCCACUCAUCAUAGUCAACAUCCUAGUCCAUGAAACAAACAAGAAAAGGUCAGGCAAAUGACACAUACAUAAUUAAUUAAAUUAUGCUAACGAUAUAGUAAUCUUUAUAUAAAAUCAAACAUAAAAUGGUAUUACAAAACCAUUCAGUAUUACAGAAGAUUUAGUUUUUGUUCUAUCAUACCAAUUUUAUUCCAAAAAUAGUAAAAUAUAUUAUGUUGAAAAUUGUUUAAUUACAAAUACAGCCCAAAUUAAGAAGAUUCUUUCUAGAAGGUUUGUUUUGACUAUAACACUUCUCCCUUCUGAUUCAGGUACUACUGGAUCGAAACUUGGAUUGGAAAACAAUGAAUGAAUCUCUGGAGCAUCAAAGUCUUAACUCUUGGUAAAUAACUUUCUCUCCUUUCUUGUUGGUGCCAUUUUAUUCAUUCAUUCAUUCAUUCCCUGAAUAUAGAUUACUUCACCUUGUUUAAUUUCAGAAGCUGCUAGGCAGAAAUAUUUGUCCAGCUUCGCUUUUCUGUUUCUUCAAAAUCUAGUAUUUUUUUCUUUCCCGUGCUUUGUUUCAGUGGUGGUGGAUUUUCUCCAGAUGUAGUUCAAACUUCAAACUGCAUGUAUUGUGAUCUGCUGGACAAAACAACUUCAUUCUAAAGUAUUUAUAAUGACUACUUUAUGUUCCUACUGCAUCAUUUGGCUUCAG